Long non-coding RNA from Orbicella faveolata, 930 nucleotides. Lineage: Eukaryota; Metazoa; Cnidaria; Anthozoa; Scleractinia; Merulinidae. The record is from RefSeq and is a predicted model, not a curated record.
AUGCUGCUUGUUACAAAUCACAUACUUCAGUACAGGGAAGAAAUAAUGGGAAAGAAUUUCUGUGAAGCUUCGUCAUUUCAGCAUCUCUGAUAAGAAGAAUAAAGUAAGUCUGAGUUGCCUUCUGCUUGUCUUCUGCUUGUGUUACAAGAAGUCUUUCGUGCGAAACUUCAGUUCAUUUCACUUGAAGAAUUGUUUUAGCUGUACGUUCAUUUUCAUUCAAAUCAAACUCAUUUUCAUGCUAAACAGUUUGCACGUGGACUCGUUUUGAAACAGAGGCACAAGACAACUCGGCUUGUUUACUUUUUCUUUUCUACACCUACUAAGAACCUUUAACUCGCUCUUGGAUUUCCAGGUUGAACUUCCUGGUGAAGUCAUAGAUGUUAGCUGUGGCGUGGAUCACAUGGCAGCCAUCCUAAAGUGCAGUUAACAUUUCAGCAGCAUGUGACACGAAAUGCCAUGCCACAUAAAAAUGUCACGCAACGCAAAGGUGAAGGAAAUCAGGCGCGUGAGUGACAGCACAAUGUUCAAGCAGAGAGGACAGAUGCUGCCUAUAAGUUUGUGUUUCUGUAAAAUUCAGAAUACAAGUGGCACAAGUGGAAAGUCCUCCCCUCAAUCGAGUAAUACGGUAGCGGAUUUCAUCGGAAAAAAAAGCAGUUAGUCCUUUCUAAAGUUUUCUCUAUACUUGCUGCACUUCACUCUGGUUGCUGUCUAAACUUUUACAAGCUACUUGAUGGAAGAGUAAGCGGAGCGGACAUUUUCAACGCAGUGAAAUUGCCCAGCGUCUUUUUUCAUUUUUGUUUUGUUUUGUUUUGUUUUGUUUUGUUUUUUUGUCUAGCUUCCAGAAGAAGUUGAUUCAUGUGGAGUGGUACCAGCAGUAAUGCUUCUUUGUGGAAUAGAACUCGGUCCCGGUGGGAGAGAGCUGAAAAAAAA